CAUAGGAAGGCAGCUGCUGCUACUGCUUCUGGCAAAUUCAAGGAUGAGAUAAUCCCUGUGGCUACCAAGAUUGUUGACCCAAAAACUGGACAUGAGAAACCUGUCACCAUCUCCGUUGAUGAUGGAAUUCGUCCUAACACAUCAUUAUCAGAGCUAGGAAAACUGAAGCCUGUGUUUAAGAAAGAUGGAACCACUACCGCUGGGAAUUCUAGCCAAGUAACUGAUGGUGCUGGGGCUGUGUUGCUCAUGAAAAGAAGUGUGGCAAUGCGUAAAGGGCUACCUAUCCUUGGUGUGUUCAGGACUUUUGCUGCUGUGGGUGUGGAUCCUGCCAUCAUGGGCAUUGGUCCAGCUGUAGCAAUUCCAGCUGCAGUGAAGGCUACUGGACUAGAACUUGCUGACAUUGAUCUUUUUGAGAUAAAUGAGGCAUUUGCUUCUCAGUUUGUUUAUUGCCGUAAGAAGUUGGAGCUUGAUCCGGAGAAGAUCAAUGUCAAUGGAGGUGCAAUGGCCAUUGGGCAUCCUCUAGGUGCAACAGGUGCCCGCUGU
RNAcentral lists this unclassified non-coding RNA (543 nucleotides) under Hevea brasiliensis (rubber tree). The record is from RNAcentral. Lineage: Eukaryota; Viridiplantae; Streptophyta; Magnoliopsida; Malpighiales; Euphorbiaceae.